Molecule: non-coding RNA, 1554 nt
Organism: Arachis ipaensis
Lineage: Eukaryota; Viridiplantae; Streptophyta; Magnoliopsida; Fabales; Fabaceae
Source: RefSeq, a predicted model, not a curated record
AAGGAAACGGAUGCAGUGAUCCACUCGUGACCCACCCCCCUUCUCUUCCCCCAAUCGUUCAAUCAUUCCUAACCCAGGUCCUCAGAGAACAGAGAUGAGAGAACUCUGAAUCAAAGAAACCCUAGCCGCCUAGCCCUCCAUUGUCGCCGCCGUUCCCAGGUCAUCAGCGCCGCCGCCAUCCCAGGUCCUCAGCACCGCUGCUUCCUCCUCUUCCCCGUGUCUGGAACCCAGUAACUCAGCAGACCUCCUCAUCUUCGCUGGCUUCUCGAACCCAGGUUAGUAGCUUAUCAUCUUCAUCUUCUCUGAAAUCUGAAUGUUUGGUCUUCAUUUCCAUCUUCUGUGACUUGUUCUCAAUGCUGUAACAAAAUACCACAUAAAAUUUAUUGUGAUCUUAGAGUAAUUCAUAAAGGAAAGAACAUGGAGAAAGGAGAAUUUGAUCCAGAAAGGUAAGUUCCACAGCAAUAGCUUCAGGUAUACUGCGAAAAAGGGGGGCAUAUUAAACCCUAAGAUAGAAUGGUUUCCAGAAUAAUAUACUAGCCCAACCCAGCAAUAGGCAAGGGAAUCAUAUGUUGGUGAUAAAGAAUCACUAUCAUGGAUUCACGACAUACAAUUGCUAGCAUGUUUACUGAAUCACAUGAUUCAAAUUGCAAAUACUAAUAUUCAAACGACUUAUGGUAGAGCAAAAUUUACAUAAAAGUGUAAAAACAUGAUAGAAAUGAAUACAGGCGUACAAACCAGCAUUUAGUUAUGUUUUGAGAGCAGAAGUUUUGCCCUAUGAUUUUACAUUAUUUUCUCCUCACUAGAUUCAGUUUUGGUUGUCAAAAAGAAACACAAAUCUUGUUGCAGUUUUCUGUUCCUGAUGUGCUUCGAUGAUCACUUGGUUGGACAGGUAACCUAGAAAAUUUAAUAAUUUCCUUCCAAAUGUCAACUUCAUUUGCAAUGGAAUGGGAUGAUAUUUUUGUCAUCCAUUUUGAUGUUCCAUUCAUAAUAUGUAUAAUGGUGCUUCUUUAUCUGGUGAAAAAGGGAUUGGCAUACUUUUUUCCAUAACUUAAAAACAUAGUAUUUAGUUAUUUUUGUUUUCUUUGCCAAUUUGCAUCAUUCUCUUUUCUAGUCAAGCGUGCUGAUACAAUAAUGAUUAUCAAUAUUUCUUCUGCUGCUAUUUGAUUUAAGUUAAAAUUUUAUACAUGUGCAAACAUCAUAUUCCAAUAACUGAUCAAGUAGAAUGCAACCCAGGUAAUUAAACCGGUAGAGAAAAGAAAUACCACAAAAGAAUAACAGCUUAUAGUGGUGGAAGAUCAGCAUCUGUAGUGGAUUCACUAAGCACAUGCUCCAGAUCUUGUAUAUUUUGUUUCAUUUCUCGAGACAAUUUGUCUUGUGCGGGGAGUUUUGCAAUGCUCGGAUAUGACAUUGUUUAUGUUACCUAUAAUUUGUGUCUUAAAUCCAGGUUAGACCAGUGAACCAGUGAACCAGUGACUAGAGCGGUUUGAUGACCGGUCCGAUUUUCAGAACCUUGAUCUAGAUUACGUAUAGAUAAAGAUUCGAUAGGCGGGUGCU